RNAcentral lists this ribosomal RNA (437 nucleotides) under uncultured Eubacteriales bacterium. RNAcentral's name for it is "bacterial SSU rRNA". It matches the Rfam family "Bacterial small subunit ribosomal RNA", at positions 948 to 1382 of the family's 1533-position model. The record is from RNAcentral. Lineage: Bacteria; Bacillati; Bacillota; Clostridia; Eubacteriales.
AAUUCGAAGCAACGCGAAGAACCUUACCAGGGCUUGACAUGCCGCUGACCGGUGCAGAGAUGCAUCUUUAGUCCUUCGGGGUACAGCGGACACAGGUGGUGCAUGGUUGUCGUCAGCUCGUGUCGUGAGAUGUUGGGUUAAGUCCCGCAACGAGCGCAACCCUUGUCUUAGUUGCCAUCAUUAAGUUGGGCACUCUAAAGAGACUGCCGAUGACAAAUCGGAGGAAGGUGGGGAUGACGUCAAAUCAUCAUGCCCUUUAUGUCCUGGGCUACACACGUGCUACAAUGGUCGGUACAACGAGAAGCAAGCCAGCGAUGGCAAGCAAAUCUCUAAAAGCCGAUCCCAGUUCGGAUUGCAGGCUGCAACUCGCCUGCAUGAAGUCGGAAUCGCUAGUAAUCGCGGAUCAGCACGCCGCGGUGAAUACGUUCCCGGGCCUU